CUGGGUCGGGGUUUCGUACGUAG
Molecule: non-coding RNA, 23 nt
Filed under: Sus scrofa (pig)
Lineage: Eukaryota; Metazoa; Chordata; Mammalia; Artiodactyla; Suidae
Also listed under: 2 other names
Source: RNAcentral